This 135-nucleotide ribosomal RNA is filed under the name uncultured bacterium. Its description in RNAcentral is "partial 16S ribosomal RNA". It matches the Rfam family "Bacterial small subunit ribosomal RNA", at positions 355 to 507 of the family's 1533-position model. The record is from RNAcentral.
UGGGGAAUAUUGGACAAUGGGCGAAAGCCUGAUCCAGCCAUGCCGCGUGAGUGAUGAAGGCCCUAGGGUUGUAAAGCUCUUUCACCGGUGAAGAUAAUGACGGUAACCGGAGAAGAAGCCCCGGCUAACUUCGUG